AACAGCUCCUGAGAUAUUUUCUUCUCUCUCUACGCACAAGCAACGCUCCUUCUGGUUUCGUCGGAAUUCGGACUCUUCGUUGCUUGUUGAACCAGAUUUCAUCUCCUCUCCUUAAUCCGAGUUAAGCUUCUUGCUGAUCACACUUUGUUUCCUGUAAUCGAGGACUUCAGAUCCGCAGAUGUAUUUUUCAUGGCUUCCUUUUCACGCACAGUAGACUUUGUGGCUGGGAUGAUUCGGCGUAGCGGUUUUUGUUCGAUCAAAGUGAGGUGGAUGCAUUGCAUUGGAUUGGAUUGGAUUGAAAUUGGUGCAACAGAAAUGCGAAGUUUGUUUGACAGAACAUUUCGUACCAAAGCUUUUGGUCCUUCGGUUGGAUACAUUUACUGUAGUAUGACAUUUCGCUCCUAAAAGAUUGGCUUUCACUGCGGUGCAAGUUGUCUGCAUUCUGCAUUAUGACAUGGCCAUCCACAACUGUGAAACAGCUUUGCUAAUGCAGUUGUAAUCUGUUGCACAAUUUGAAGAGAUGUUAAUAACAUAAUCAAAAUAGUGAGCUUUGCUUAUUUUUUCUUUUUGGGGUUGGUCCAUUGGAAUCAAUAUGGUAUGCUAUAUUACUCUUUAGUGGGGUUAUAUAUUGCUUUUGCUGGUA
Long non-coding RNA from Pyrus x bretschneideri (Chinese white pear), 643 nucleotides. RefSeq lists it as uncharacterized. The transcript is spliced from 3 exons. The record is from RefSeq and is a predicted model, not a curated record. Lineage: Eukaryota; Viridiplantae; Streptophyta; Magnoliopsida; Rosales; Rosaceae.